UGUUUAAUUGGAGGGCAAGUUUUGGUGCCAGCAGCCGCGGUAAUUCCAACUCCAAGAGUGUAUCUUAAUGUUGCUGCAGUUAAAAAAGCUCGUAGUUGAACUUCUGGCUAGUGGAGGUCCCCCGGGAUCAUUCGCUAGUCAUCCGCUCGGAGAAGCAGUAUUUCCUUUACUGGUUUUACUGUAGACCCCAGCAUUUUACUUUGAAGAAAUUAGAGUGUUCCUGGCAGGCUUAGCUUGCAUAUAUUAGCAUGGAAUAAUGGAAUAGGACCUUGUCUGUUUUAUUGGUUGACAGAUAGGUAAUGAUUAACAGGGACAGUCGGGGCGAUUCGUACUCAGUGGCUAGAGGUGAAAUUCUUAGAUUCGCUGAAGACGAACUAAUGCGAAAAGCAUUUGCCAAGGAUGUUUUCAUUAAUCAAGAACGAAAGUUAGGGGAUCAAAGACGAUUAGAUACCGUCGUAGUCCUAGCCAUAAACUAUACCGACUAGGGAUUGGUGUGGGUCAUAUCCAUAUCAGCACCUAAUG
Molecule: ribosomal RNA, 522 nt
Filed under: uncultured eukaryote
Lineage: Eukaryota
Description: bacterial SSU rRNA
Rfam family: Eukaryotic small subunit ribosomal RNA
Source: RNAcentral